This 66-nucleotide transfer RNA is filed under the name Diaphanoeca grandis. The record is from RNAcentral. Lineage: Eukaryota; Choanoflagellata; Acanthoecida; Stephanoecidae.
GCGUUUCCGCCAACGCUGAAAACGCCGCGGCCGCUGAAGACUUUCUGGCGUAUUUCACCAGUGCGG